GGUAGCAUAAUCAUUAGUCUCUUAAUUAGAGGCUUGUAUGAAUGGUCGGACAAGAUGGAAACUGUCUCAAUAUAAAUAGUAAAAUUUAAUAUUUAAGUAAAAAAGCUUAAAUAAUAUAGAGGGACGAUAAGACCCUAUAAAGCUUUAUGGUAGUUUCUUUUUAUAUAGAUUGGUAAAAUUUAAUUUAUUAAAAGAAAAAUAUCAUUCUACUGGGGCGGUAAAAGUAUAUCUUUGGUUAACUGCUUUUGUUUUGUAAGUCAAUAAUAGUUGAAAUAUUAAUUGAUCCAUUAUUAAUGAUCAUAAGAACAAGUUACUUUAGGGAUAACAGCGUAAUUUUUCUUGAGAGUUCUUAUCGAAAGAAAAGUUUGCGACCUCGAUGUUGAAUUAAGGAAGCCUUAAGGUGUAGCAGUUUUAUAGGCAGAUCUGUUCGAUCUUUAAAUCUUUACAUGAUUUG
RNAcentral lists this ribosomal RNA (454 nucleotides) under Echinosquilla guerinii. RNAcentral describes it as "partial 16S ribosomal RNA". It matches the Rfam family "Bacterial large subunit ribosomal RNA", at positions 1955 to 2607 of the family's 2925-position model. The record is from RNAcentral. Lineage: Eukaryota; Metazoa; Arthropoda; Malacostraca; Stomatopoda; Protosquillidae.